RNAcentral lists this ribosomal RNA (492 nucleotides) under uncultured bacterium. Its description in RNAcentral is "partial 16S ribosomal RNA". It matches the Rfam family "Bacterial small subunit ribosomal RNA", at positions 29 to 507 of the family's 1533-position model. The record is from RNAcentral.
AGUGAACGCUGGCGGUAGGCCUAACACAUGCAAGUCGAACGGCAGCACAGUAAGAGCUUGCUCUUACGGGUGGCGAGUGGCGGACGGGUGAGGAAUACAUCGGAAUCUACUUUUUCGUGGGGGAUAACGUAGGGAAACUUACGCUAAUACCGCAUACGACCUACGGGUGAAAGCCGGGGAUCUUCGGACCUUUCGCGAUUGAAUGAGCCGAGGUCGGAUUAGCUAGUUGGCGGGGUAAAGGCCCACCAAGGCGACGAUCCGUAGCUGGUCUGAGAGGAUGAUCAGCCAGACUGGAACUGAGACACGGUCCAGACUCCUACGGGAGGCAGCAGUGGGGAAUAUUGGACAAUGGGCGCAAGCCUGAUCCAGGCAUACCGCGUGAGUGAAGAAGGCCGUCGGGUUGUAAAGCCCUUUUGUUGGGAAAGAAAAGCAGCAGGUUAAUACCCCGCUGUUCUGACGGUACCCAAAGAAUAAGCACCGGCUAACUUCGUG